UACGUAGGUGGCAAGCGUUGUCCGGAAUUCUUGGGCGUAAAGCGCGCGCAGGCGGCCUCUUGAGUCUGAUGUGAAAGCCCACGGCUCAACCGGGGAGGGCCAUUGGAAGCUGGGAGGCUUGAGUAUAGGCGAGAAGAGUGGAAUUCCACGUGUAGCGGUGAAAUGCGUAGGGAGGUGGAGGAACACCAUUGGCGAAGGCGACUCUUUGGCCUAUAACUGACGCUGAGGCGCGAAAGCGUGGGGAGCAAACAGG
This 253-nucleotide unclassified non-coding RNA is filed under the name uncultured Caryophanales bacterium. RNAcentral describes it as "uncultured Bacillales bacterium contains 16S-23S intergenic spacer region". It matches the Rfam family "Bacterial small subunit ribosomal RNA", at positions 524 to 776 of the family's 1533-position model. Lineage: Bacteria; Bacillati; Bacillota; Bacilli; Caryophanales. The record is from RNAcentral.